AGAGUUGAGUCCUGGCUAGGACGAACGCUGGCGGCGUGCCUAACACAUGCAAGUCGAACGGAGUUAAUGAUUUCGGUUGUUAACUUAGUGGCGAACGGGUGAGUAACGCGUGAACAACCUGACCCAAAGAGGGGGAUAACAUUUGGAAACAGAUGCUAAUACCGCAUAAGACCACAACGUCACAUGGCGAAGGGGUCAAAGGAGCAAUCCGCUUUGGGAGGGGUUCGCGUCCCAUUAGGUAGUAGGCGGGGUAACAGCCCACCUAGCCAACGAUGGGUAGCCGAGCUGAGAGGCUGAUCGGCCACACUGGAACUGAGACACGGUCCAGACUCCUACGGGAGGCAGCAGUGGGGAAUAUUGGGCAAUGGGCGCAAGCCUGAACCCCAGCAACGCCGCGUGAGGGAAGAAGGUUUUCGGAUUGUAAACCUCUGUCGCAGAAGACGAAGGAAGUGACGGUAUUCUGUGAGGAAGCCCCGGCUAACUACGUGCCAGCCGCUGC
This 499-nucleotide ribosomal RNA is filed under the name uncultured bacterium. RNAcentral describes it as "bacterial SSU rRNA". It matches the Rfam family "Bacterial small subunit ribosomal RNA", at positions 8 to 518 of the family's 1533-position model. The record is from RNAcentral.